Molecule: ribosomal RNA, 465 nt
Filed under: uncultured bacterium
Lineage: Bacteria
Description: partial 16S ribosomal RNA
Rfam family: Bacterial small subunit ribosomal RNA
Source: RNAcentral
CCUACGGGAGGCAGCAGUGGGGAAUAUUGCGCAAUGGGCGAAAGCCUGACGCAGCGACGCCGCGUGAGGGAUGAAGGUCUUCGGAUCGUAAACCUCUGUCAGCAGGGACGAACGGUCACUGUGCUAAUCAGCAGUGAAUUGACGGUACCUGCAAAGGAAGCACCGGCUAACUCCGUGCCAGCAGCCGCGGUACUACGGAGGGUGCGAGCGUUAAUCGGAAUUACUGGGCGUAAAGCGCUCGUAGGCGGUAUGGCAAGUCAAGGGUGAAAUCCCCGGGCUCAACGUUGGAACUGCCUUUGAAACUGGCAAACUUGAGUGUGUGAGAGGCUGGUGGAAUGCCAGGUGUAGGGGUGAAAUCCGUAGAUAUCUGGAGGAACAUCAGUGGCGAAGGCGACUAUCUGGCCCAUAACUGACGCUGAGGAGCGAAAGCGUGGGUAGCAAACAGGAUUAGAUACCCUUGUAGUC